CUCCCCGGAGCGUGCCUGCGGCGCGAGAACAAACGCGCCCGGCGAGCUCGCGCGUGGGGCGGUCGUUGGGGCCGUUGGCGGGCCGGCAGCGGGGCGUAGGGCCUGCGGGGGGCCGCUGCCGAUAGGGGUGGCUGCGGCGGGCAGUUGCUGAGAGAGGGAACGGGAGAGAAAAGCAACCGGUGGAGAGCUGAGGCUGUGAGCUGUCCCUCGGAAAGAGGAGGGGUGCCCGCGGGGCAGCUCCCCAGUGCCGGCCCUCCCUACCCCACUGCUGUCCUCGCAGAGCCUCGCUGGGCUCCGCGUUGAGAAAAUGCGCGGAAUAGGGAACGCUGCACUCGGUCUACAGAAGACUUAAGGGGAGCGAAGUUAGGUGAGGAACUGCUGCCCCUCCGAGCGGUCCGGGCACAUAUGCUGACAGGAGUCAUCUGUCUGGAAACCCCUCGCAAAUUUGGAAACAUUUUCCCAGGCGUUUAUGAAAUACGCUCGGUGACCUUGAGCACACAUUCCUGGAUCUGACAUAUUAGAGAAGAUGAAUAUUCAUUCGCCUAAAUGAUAUUUUCAUACGUGUUACUCAUUACUGUGCGGUCAAUAAACAUUUUGAUAUAGUGAUUUGCAGCAGAGCUAAGCACGCAAUUUGUACGACAGGCAUUGAGACAGACUGGAAUUCAAGAUUGAUUUCUAUAUUGAUGUUGGUAUAAUAUAUAGCAUUUAAUUUUUAGUAGUGGUUGAUGCGUAACAAACCCGUAUUUUUCCCUUUUGAACAUAUAACUUUGAUACAGAACACAGCAAUUGAUACUGAGGCUUGCAUAAACUUCAGGUAACACCUAUUGUUUCGUGAUCAGCCCCCUAGAAUGAGUGCCCCUAGUUUACAUAGUUGAUCUACAUCCCAACUAUAUGCCUUCUGGAAAAAUUUCCCAGUCCUUUCAGUGUAAUUACGGCAUCUUUAAUUAAAAUAAAUGGACUAACGCCACUACUCCAUCCCACCUUUCUGCUGCAGUUCACUGUUUCUACAAGCUGGCGUGUCUUAUGCUUCCACUAUUGCAAUGCAUCGUGUUAGCAGACCAGCUUUGAUUUCUGUGGGCUUUCAGCGAGGCAGGCUGUGAGUCUGAAUGGCUGAAGAUUAGCACAUGCUCUCCUGUGCCCCCGAGUUGGGCAGAACACAGGGGUGGACAAAUAGGGACUGUAGCGUCUUCAGGUAAUUGCAAUAGAUUUGCCAGAGGAUGUUUGCUCAGAUCAUCUCCAAGGAAUAAUUCCAUCAUGAUGAAAGAAAAAAAAAUGAUCUUGUUUUACCUCUCCCAUUCCUUUUUGCCUGUCAUAUCUCCCUGCCCCAUCUCUAUUUCACCACAUUUAUCUUGUAGCUUGAGGUCUCUUCUGGGAAUGCUUUGCCAAUAUAUGAAGUACACCAACAAAAUAGUGCUCAGAAUCACAUCUUUCAACUGCUAAACUUUGCUUUUGCCAGCAUACCGUGUUCCAGCCAUCUCCUUUUUCAUCCAAGAAAAAUAAGCUGUGCUGGGUAAUGGUCAGACAUCAGAACAGACUAUCCGUGAUAGGGGCCUUUGCCUACAGUUACAUCAGCCAUCAAGUGUUGCCUCCUUUCACCCUAAGCUGGCAGAGAGACGGCAAGGGAAGAGCAGCCUUUGCUUGUGGAAAGGGUGAAGUUCAGUUUAGAUACAGCAAACAGAGUUUUGCCAGCACAGAGACUUACUGAUUUCAUGCUGCCACUCUUCAAGUAUUUGGAGGUCCUACAUGCCAAAAGAACGCAUGUGAUCCUUUCGUAUAUUUACAAAUGUGCUUAGACUCGUGUUACUGAACUAUAUGGACGGAUAACAAACAGUGAUCAGCACAGCCGUGGUCUGCAAGCCAUGAACCUCUCAAAUGAGUUUUGCUUGGGAAGACUGCCAGAAUGUUCAGCAUUACCUGCACCUGGUCAGAUAAAAGUAUUACCUCUGGGGACAUGCAACUGUUUUCAGGUGCAUGUGGAAGCUUGAUUCUACAAGCCCGGCACACGCAGGUUCCAUCUUUAAUUUUUUCUCACGCUGGGGGGAUUGGAGCUCCAGGUGCUGCGAAUAUGUCGCUGUGUUUAGGUAUUGCCCCAAAUCACAGCCGGGUUACCCAAAGCGAUCGGAGAGGCUGAGUGCAUGAGUCAGCUGGAUUUCAGAAUCUGCCACGUGCUUCAGAAAUACGGUUUUGUUUGUCCUUAGCCUAAAUCUAAUUUUGAAAUACGUUUCAAUCUGAGGAUAAGGAGUAAGAGUUGAAAGGGAUGUGCCUGAUGUUUGGCUUGGCCGUUGCCUUCUACCUGCUGCCAGGAUCACAGAGCUGAUGGUAGUCAAGCCAUGGGAAAAGCACAGAGAAAGAUUAUGUGCGUCAGCAACACUUUCUUGUACUAUCAGGAGUACACUUAUCUGUUCCAACAAAAUAGAGUGAUUUAUAUUUUGAUGUCCUUGAACUUCCACAUAAACAGGUGAAGUCAGUUUAUUCCCUUGUACAUUUGUUUGCAUACUUGUGAUACAGUGUCAUUCUGGUUAUACAUUUCAUAACCUUACUGUACGAGGACAUGAACUCUCAGCAGCGUCUUCCUCCCUAACCUUUCUCAGCUCCUUUGAGCGCUAAUGGGCCGUGACAGUUCCUGCCCAGGCGCGGGGUCCGCGGUACUGAGGGGAGAGAGGGGGGUGGGGAGAAGCGUCUAUCCCUCUGAUAGCUUUAGGGACCUGCUUUUUGAUACAGCUUCUUGGCCAGCGUCAGCUGCAGGUGUGUGUUAUGCCUCUGUAGCAGGAGCAGCAAGAAGGGGUAUAAUCUUCUCGUUCCCCAAGCUGCCACAAACACAACACAAGUGAUGUUUGCUCGGACGUUUUAACACGGGAUGGGGAAAUACACGGGGAAAUCUGGCACACGCCCAGUUUCCACUUCAUUAUUUUCUGCAAACACGGAGUUGGGGAUUUUCCUAUCUAGCUCACAAUUUAUGCUCCCAGUGGGGAGUUCAGAACACCACACUCCGGACCCGCUGGAAGAGAGCGUUCUGGGGACAGCAGCAGGCGAAGCCCACGCAGCCUGCGCACGGAGGUGAUUCUCCAGGGGACAGGUACACUAAGACACGCUGCUGCGGGAACACACCUGGGGCGGCAGCGUAUCCCGGGGCAGGACGGGGCCUCGGGCGCGGCCCCGCUGCCCGGCAGCGCGCAUGCGGGGACAAGGAGUGAGGCGCGCUCCCGCGCCCGGUGCGCGAUCGCGCCUCUCCAAGCGUACUCCCCACGGUGGCGCGCCGGUGCUGCCCCCAUCCGGCGGUGGUUGGAGCCUAUGCUGCUGUUGCACGAGGGAGCUCGUCAACAAAUACGUAGCGCUCCUUGGAAACAAUGCCCUUUUAAAUUUUCAUUUUGAAGAGAUUUUGUUACGUCCUGCUCUGAGCUGCAGGGUUAGCCGAGAUCUUUCAGGGCCUUUCAGGGUCUUUCAGGGCCUUUCUGUUCAAAAAGAGGCUGAUGUUAGAAUUCCGUAUUCCUUUGAUUCAAUAUUUACAGAAAAUUCACCGAGGCCUUUUUGCCCAAGCACAACAGGACUCCAACAGAAGUAGGGUUUUGUUUUCCUUCUUUUUUUUUUUUCUUCAUCUUUUCAUUAUUAUUUUUUGCUCUGCUUUUUCAGGCUAUUUCUUCCCAAGUGGCUCCUGUGUGAAAGCCCAUUUGCUUUCCCCCUUCCCCAGCAGGUCCCUCCAGCAUCCAUCUGUUUGCCUCUUACUGCCUUUGGAGGCUGUUCCCCAGCCAAACAAUCCCCAGCAUUCAGCACUCCCCUCUACCCUACUGCUCCAUUGACUGUUUCUCUUUGUUUCAGAUCUGCUUUAGGUAGUAAUUCUUUUUCUUCCCCCCCCCCCCCCCCCCUUUUUUUUUUUUGAACUUCAGAAGGGAACCCAAUAUCCUCAGUUAUUUAUCUUGACUCUGGGAUAAUUCUAACAGCAGGGGUUAUGCAGUCCUGGGGCAGAUUGUCAAGGGAUUUUUAUAGAGGCCCCAUCACUGGAGCAUUUGAAGCUAGGCAAAUAUUUAUCAGGAGUGACACAAGUACAGUCGUCCUGACUCAGGGCAGCGUGAUACCUGCAUGAUCUCAUGUUUACUUCCAGUCUUGGUUUAUUUCUAUGAUAUAUACACCUUAUAAACAGCCCUGGGAUUGUUACUGAUGAAAGGGGAAAAACAACCUUCUCUCUUUUUUGUGUGUCUCCACUUGUUCUGCCUACCUAUUUGAUAGAGCAAAACAAGGAAUGUAAAACUAUUAACUAUCCUAAUUAUUAACUGUCCCAUUAUCUUAGUGUUUAGGAUAUGCCAUCAGUGCAAUUCUUACCCAUGCAAAACAUUCACUGACUUAAUCUGUGCACACACAAGCACCAGAAAUGUGGGCACUACGGAGGAAAGCCUUGGCACUUUUUUUAGUGUGCUCCUUCAGUGGAAGUUUUACAUGAAUAAUAUGAGGAAGGCUUGCCCUCAGAAUGGACUGAUUGCUUUCCGAGAGGGUUAUCAUCUAUCUGCAUUAUUUAGACAGCGUCUGGGAAACUUGCUGGAGCCUCAGGCUCCCAUUGUGUUAGACAUUGUGUAGAUGAGUAAUUAAUGGUGGGCCUCCUUCUGUUUUGCUUAAUGUAUAUAUUGUACAUAUACAAUGAGUUGAGGAAGGUUGCCGAUGUGAGGAGUCAAAUGGGAAAGGCAGUUCUGCAGCCCCGUACACAGUCUGGCUGGCAGAGAGGCUUCAGCCUGACAGUGGCCUCCCAGGUAGACACUGCAGGUACGUUUAGGGUUUAAAGAAGAACCCAAAAAUGCCAACUUCACACAUUUUGGUGUGUUUGGCCAUAUGGGGAAAGCAGGAAAGGCAGCACGUAUGCUGAAGGAAGAGGUAGAAUGUCUUUUUCAACGUAUUGUUCCGUAUUUUCAGCUGUGCAGUUUAGAUGUAGCUAUUCAUUUCAGAAUGAUAAUGCAUACAGACAAAAGAAAUAGGGAACUAAUGACACUUGUUAUUAUCCUGUUUCCUGCAUCCACACUAGAAACUGAAUAAACCUUCCCACAGUCAGGGGGCUUGGUGGUACGGCUGCCACACUCACAGGUAUGGACUGGAUGGUGGGGCAGAAGAAGCAGAGGGCGUAUUGCCAGGAUUGCUCUUAACAAGCACCACCAUAUUUAUGGAUCUAAAUAGUAGCAACUUGCCAGGAUAAUUACAAUCAAGUCAUUUCCACAAAAAGACAGAAAAAAAAAUAUAGGAAAAAAAGAUGCCAUGUAUGGUCUGCUGAGUGCUCACGGACACAGAACAAAAUGGUCACUUAAUGAUAAUAAAAUAUUCAUGUGAACAUUACAUUUUCAUUACUGAUGUGGGAGACCACAAAAUCAAAUAGAAGCGAAGAGUGAGCUUUCAGUUAAACUGCUGAUUUUGCAAAGGAAUGUUAGACAGCAUUAAUAACAUGAAGAGCAUGAAGUAAUCAUGGCAAAUGGACAUGUUUUUAAUUUCAUGCCUUGUAUUUAAUCAUACAAGAAGAGAAUAUUUCUAGGUAUUCCAUUCCCAUUUGCUUCUGUUUUUUUCUUGCCUUGUUCCCCACUUUGUUAUUUUCUCUCAGGAGUCUCACUGAUGCAUAGAGAUUUUUUUCCCCCCAGAGCUCACAGGGAAUAGGAAAUGUCCACUGGACCACACUUCAGUCCAUUCAGAUCAUCUCAUAAGGAGAAGAAGGCUGCAUAUUGGAAGUUCAAGACACAUCUGAGCUCAAAAAUUCACUUCCUUCUGAAGGGAACUGUAGCCAUUUUUGGCUAAGGAGUUGUUGACUUGUAAAACCUUUUGAGGCAAUGAAAGUAGAUUGUUAAAAGGUGAAUGACUUCAAACACAGAUGUUGCAGAAACUGCAGCUGCAAUGGAUGUGGAUCAGGUAGCAAAGGCUCAGUGCUAGCAAAUCAAAGGAAACUCUUCCUGCAGCUGGAGCAUUGCAAAGACCUGGCAGAACCCUCGGAAGUGCAGCCCCCUAUGUAUCUUUUUCUUACACCUCCUAGAGGGCUGAAAGAGCCUUUCAUUUCUGGUACAAAGCGUUCUGGGGUUGUUUGCUAACAAAAACUUCUUUUGUCCCAGCUGACUCGAAUCUGACGAAAGAUCCUUGGAUGACUCUGCCGCUCGGCCUUUCUUUUAUCUUUCCCAGCCAGUGUAUCUGCCCCACAGUCUCUGCAACACUUCCCUGGGAUGGUGUCCCCCUUUGUAACAAUAUGACCUUUUUUUACUUUGUUUAGAAAUACGUAAGAACAGUAAAUGUGCAAAACAUGUAACUGUAUCGCAGUGGUAUAAAUUACACAGAGGUACGGUAUUGAUUGUGCAAAGAUCAGAUAGUUUUAAAGUCACUGAAUGGCUGUCAGAUUGUUAAUUGAACAUUUGCUGAAAAAUGCCUAUGGGUAAGUGAUCUAGAUAUUGCUGCAGGAUAAUGGAAUUUAAAAACAACAUUUGUCUGCCACCAUUCUGCCUUGGAUGUAUUUAAAGAAAUACCAGGAAGCUGAAAGGCACGCUCCUCAAAACAUUCACACUCAAACGUCCUUACAUUAUUAAUCCUUUGGAGUGAUAAUAAUGAAAUAACCCAAUUUAAUAGUUUGAUGAUUUUACUUUUUAGCUUUCAGCUGGGUAAAAGGGUUUUCUUGAUUUUCACACUUCUGAAGUCUGUCUAUAGUUAAUUUUCAUUUGCUCUUUCCACGUGCAGGUUCAACUUUGUAACCAUUCUGCACAUAUAUCAAAUUAGCCUAUUACUUAAAACAAAUUUAUUGUCUCCAGUCUGACUUCAAUAAUUUAAAAAAUAUUACAAAGCAUUCACUGUGAAUUGUUUCUGUAAGACUCAGGAAUACACAACAGUUGGUUCAGGGGAAGUUCAGGCUGGAUAUUAGGAACAAUUUCUUCUCAGAAGUCAUGGUGCUGCAGUGGCACAGCUGUCCAGGGAGGUGGUGCAGUCACCAUCCCUGGAGGUGUUCAAGAACCAUGUGGAUAUGGCACUGAGGGACGUGGUCAGUGGGCAUGGUGGGGGUGGGCUGGUGGUUGGACUGGAUGAUCUGAGAGGUCUUUUCCAACCUUCAUGAUUCUAUGAUUCCCCUCUUUUUGAAAACAAGCCCACUGAACUGGCAAUAUUUUCUCUCCAGUUAAUUAGUUUCAGAAAAUUAAUAUCUGCUCCUCAUCACAAAUAAGCUCAGGAGAAUACACUUUUUUAGUGCUGUAUAGGCCAGGGUUAUUUGACACAAAUGCUGCAGCUGUUCUGUAUGUUUUCAGAAGUGAUGUUAGAGCUCUCUCUACUUUCUGUAAUGAACUCUGGAGAACUAAUGUCCCAAAUAUUUUCAAUGGCUAAGAUGAAUGUAUGCGUUUAUUUCCUUGCCUGUCUGGAUACAAUAUGACCACGUUAGAAUUUAUCAAAAACAAAACUAGAAACUUCAGGAAAUGUUCUAGACAUUAUGGGAACAAAUUUUAAUAAUUUCACUGAGAAUCCAAAAACUGGAAGACACCUGUACUUUAAAGUUGCUCAUUGCUCUUGGAGUGCUGUGCGUCAGCUGUUGGACAGAUGUUUAGCCAGCAAGGGAAGUCAGAGGGGAGCCAAAUGAAGACAUCUGAUUUUUUUCCUCUCCUCCCUCACAGACUGUCUGUUGUUGAUGGUAGAGAGAGGGAAGACACUAGCUGUUGGAUCAUUUUUCUUUUAGGAAGGGCAGAAUUACAGACUAUCUGGAAGGGAGAUUAAAAACGGAAGCCCAAAGUAUCCUUAGUAUGGUGGUGAAGAUAUUGAGGGGCAGGGAUGGUAUUCCUGCUAGUGCUCAUUGUCACUUUAAUCAUUUAUACUCUGCCCUUUUUUAUGCAUUUUCGUCUAUAUGGAUCUUCAUAUUCCAUACAAAUAUCAGUAGCUAUUAGCUAAGGUGAUUUUUAACUCCUGCUUUCUCCCAGCACUGGUAUCUACUUGCUCCCACCUGACCUUUCUGUCCAUUUGGCUCACAUCUCACAUAUAUUUGCUGCAGGCUCCUCUGUUCCAUGAGCUGAUGUACUAGAUGCAGCUGAUUGAAAAAAAAAAACCACCUUAUUUUACUGAUCAGAUAGAGAUAGGAUCACUUGUCAACUCACAGAGGAAAGGCUGCAGAACCUUAGUGCAGUUACUGACCAGAUACCUUGCACUCAUAGGUAUAUGGGGUAUAUGACCCCAUUGCAGGGCAGCAUGAGGAUCAUUGCCUCAUAUCAUGCCCUGAUGCCUCAGUCUGAUUCUCUAUCAUGUUAGCUGACAUUACUACUCUCUUAUCCACUGACACUGAGGAAUACGAAGAGGUUACUUGGUAAGACCCCUUACAAAUGGUUCAAGCUGGCAGCAAUGAAGUUAUUGAGAGAAGCCUGAGGGCUAUCAUAAGGGGCUUCAGGGGACUGGGGUUGUUAGUGGAUGGAGUGGGAGGGAGUACAGGUGGUAUUUUCCUCUGUCCUUUCAGUGGCAGGGAGGGAUACUGAGAGGACAAGGAAAACCCAUCUGAUAAAGACAUGGCUGAGAGGCUGGUGCCACCAGUCCCAGGGGGAAAAGAAUUCUGGCCCAGGAGCUGUCUGGGCUCAUUGACAGGGCUUUAAACUAGGUUUGAAGGGAGAAGGAGGUGAUAUAGAGCCUGUCCGUGACAGGACGGGAUAGUAUAGCUAAGUUAGAGGAACAAGGUGUUAAUGGGGGCCUGCAACCUGCUACAUCUUGUGAUGAUGAAGGCAACAGGGAAUAUAAUGAUAACUCAAAGGAAUUAAGGAAUUAUUCUCCCAGGAGGUGACAAGACCAGCUGCCCAGCUAAGUGCCUUUACAUCAGUGCAUGCAGCUUGAGAAACAAACAGGAGGAGUGGGAAACAACCAUGAUACUUGAAAAAGUAUGAUUUAGCUGCCAUCACUGAAACCUGGUGGGAUGAUUCCUGUGACUGAAAUGUGGUUAUUGAUGGCUACAGGCUGUUCAGAAGGGACAGGUGAGGAAGGAGAAGUGUUGCCUUGAACAUCAAGGAAGGAAUAAUGUGUGAAGAGCUGUCCCUAAGAAACAAGUCAAAAGCCUGUGGGUGAGAGAUAGAGACCAAGGCAACAAAGGGAGCUUUGUGGUUGAUGUCUACUAUAGGCCACGUGAUCACGAGGAAACUGUUGAUAAAGCUUUCUUCCUCCAGCUACAUGAGACAUUGUGAUCACCGGCUCUCGUCCUGCUGAGGCACUUCAACCACACUGAUAUCUGCUGGAAAAGUAGCACAGUGAGCUGGUGAUCCAGGAGACUCCUGGAAUAUAUCAAGGAUAAUUUCCUGAGCCAGGUAAUAGACAGCCCCAUCAGGGGGGAAUGCAGUGCUGGACCUGUUGCUUAGCAACAUUAAUCAACUGACUGGUGAUAUCAGGAUUGGAGGCUGCCUGGGAUGUAGUGACCGUGCAAUGGUGAAGUUCAAACUCUUGAGUGAUAUCAGGCAGGCGAAGAGUAAAACCAGGAAGCUUAAUUGUAGGAAAAUCCAAAAGCCAGCUAUUCAGGGAGUCUGUUAAUAAACCCCCCUGGGAAUCUGUCCUGAAGCACAAGGGAGUGGAGCAGAGCUGGCAGAUUUUUAAGGAAGAUCUUUCCUUAGGGCACAAGAGCUCUCCAUCUCCAGAUGUAGGAAGUCAGGAAAGAAAGGUAGUAGACUAUUAUGGCUGAACCAGGACCUGCUGGUCAAGCUGGAGAGCAAGAAGAAAAUGCAUAGGCAGUGGAAGCAGAAACAGGUAACCUGGGAGAAGUAUAGGGAUGCUGCUAGGCUCUGUAGGGGUUGGGGUCAGGAAGGCCAAGGUCCAACUAGAACUGAACUUGGCAAGGGGAGUAAAGAAGGAUAAGAAAGGCUUCUAUAAGUACAUCAGCUAGAAAAGGAAAGUCCAGGAGGACAUACUCUCCCUAGUGAGUGGCACAGGCAGACUAAUAAUAAGAGACAAGAAGUCUGAGAUAUUCUACAACUUUUUGCCUUAGUCUUCACUAGUAACUGCUCUACACACAGGCUUUGACUGGAUGGUUCAGAAUGUGGAAACUGGAAGAGAGAUGCCACUCCUGCUAUAAGUGAAGAUCAGAUUCAUGACCUCCUGAGGAACAUGAACACCCAUAAGUCUAUGAGCCCUGAGGAGAUGCAUCCCGGAGUCCUGAAGGAAUUGGCAGACAUAGUUGCCAAGCCACUCUUGAUGAUCUUUGAAAAGUCAUGGUGGUCAGAUGAAGUCUCUGGUGACGAUGACAAAAGGCAAUAUCACACCCAUAUUUAAGAAGGGUAGAAAGGAUGACCUGGGGAACUAUGAACCUAUUAGCUUCACAUCUGUGCUGAGGAAGAUAAUGGAACAGAUCCUUCUGGUAGCUACGCUAAGGCAUCUGGAAGAGCAGGAGGUGAUAUGGGGCAACCAGCAUGGCUUCACCAAGGGGAGGUUCUGCCUGACCAACUUCAUUGCUUUUUAUGACGGUGUAAGUGUGUCUGUGGACAAGGGAAGAGCCACUGAUGUCAUUUAUUUGGACUUCAGUAAGACCUUUGCCACAGCUUCCCGUAACAUCCUUUUCUCCAAAUUGGAAAGACAUGGAUUUGAUGGGUGAACUCUUUGAUGGACAAGAAUCUGGUUUUGAGAUUAAGAGAUGAGGCUCCUAGGACCAGCUACAUGCACUCUGUCUGGGGCAGCUUCACAAGCUAUUGUGAAACUGCUUUUCUAUGUGUUUUCUCAUUUCCAAACCAAGAAACAAGGUGAGGCCUACAGCAAUUCUUUAAUCUCUUUCCACUUUAAAGCAUUCAAGCAUUUCUCUGAUGUUCCUGGAAAGGGGCACAGAUGACUGUGUCCCCUCCUAAUGAUGAUGACUCCCCUGAAGAGGACCAGGGGACCAUUCCACCUCCUGUGCUUGAUGGUUCUCUCAUGAAACAUCUCCAGAAUUUCACCACUGUCUAGAGCUUCUUGAUUCCCUCUGAGACUUGCUUUAUCCUUACAAAAAUAAAAAAUAGACAAGUAAGCCAACAAGAAAGCAAACAGCCAAAAACAAAAGCACAACAUCACAAAAGCUAGCAAAGCUGUGCAAUCUUAUUUACAAAUAAUGUAGUUAAAGUCUUAUUUCUCCAGACACAGCAUAUGAAUACUCCCUCCUUUUGCACUGGAACAGUUUGCCCGGAGAGGUUGUGGAUGCCCCAUCCCUGAAGGCAUUCAAGGCCAGGCUGGAUGUGGCUCUGGGCAGCCUGGUCUAGUGGUUGGUGACCCUGCCUGUGGCAGGGGGUUUGAAACUAGAUGAUCUUUGAGGUUCUUUUCAAUGCAGGCCAUUCUAUGAGUCUAUGAUUCUAUGAUUCUGUUUCACUUCUGCAGACGUACAUAACCCCUGCUAACUGUUUCUUCAUCCACUGUGUUCACAUCACAAUAUAUCCCAAAUAAAUUGCUCCAUCUAUAUAUUACAAAGUGGAGUAAAAUGUGUUUGCUGAGUGGUAGCUUCCAUUGUUUAUGCCUCUCUCUAUGGAGACCUUAAUUUAGUUUCAUCAUCAUCCCAUGAGAAGGCCAUCUCUGACUCCAUCCAGAGUAAUUCUAUGGAUCAUAUCAGCCGACUUAAUGUCAUUUUUUACCAAAAAAAACUGACAAUCAACCAUUGUCCUCCCGUUUUCUUGGAGCUGUUACACUCCUCAGGCCUGCAAGUGUCAUCUGCAUUUCCUUCUACCAAAAUAUAUAGACUUUAAUUAGCAGUAUUAACAGCCAUAUUGUUUCUGCUUAGCCAGAAAUCACCUGGGUCACUUCCUGCUUGUAAUCUAUCCUCAUCAUUUCUCUGUUCCUUUUUGUUGUUCGCAUAGUUUAAAAUAUUACUAGAGUUAGUUUGUAUUUUGUAUUUUGUUUGUUUAUUAAUAUAUAUUUUUUUUCUCCAUGCCAUAGGUAAAAGCAUUGAAUAUGAUCUUGGACAAGAAAGGUUCUCUGUAGCACUGCACUGGUGAAAAUUGGUAGGAUUUAGUUAACGAUUACAUAUUAAAUUUCCAAGUUAUACAGUUUGAUCUCAUUUAAUAAAUAUUUUCUUGAUUUUCUUCUGAUGUUAAUAACUUAAUCAGAAUGUAAUAUGGUAUCAGUGUUGCACAGGUGUGUGAAAGCAAUUAUUUUGUCUUAUAUAUUUAUAUAUACUUACCUUUAUUAAAUAGACCAAAUUAUGGAACUUCUGAUCUCAUAAAAAUACUAUGCAAUUUGUUUAACUUAACCUGUUUUGCAUAAAAUCACGUCGACUGACAGUAAUUAUGUUACCAUUUCUUAUUUCCUUAUGGACAGAGUCCCGAAUCAGCUGUUCCAUUCUUCUGCACAGAACCAAGGUCAAGUUAGCUCAUCUACAAUUACCCUGUUUACACUUAUGAAAUAGCAGUGCAGCAUUGGAUAUUUCCUGGCUCCUUUGAUUUCCACAGUAUGCCAAGGCUUUUUGCCAGAAAGCACCAGUACAAGAUUCCUUUUAAAAGCUUUAAAUAAGUUACCCACUCCUGCCAGUUAUAGAAGUUAAUAGAUGCUCUUUACCAUUCACUUAAAAAAAUAUCAAAAUAGAUGGUAUUUCAGCAAUACAGACUCUGUUUUCAUUUCUAAAUGCAAAAUGUAAAUAUUCACGGAAUGCUUCUUUUUUUUCCCCCAGAUAGCAAUGGAGCUGUGUCAUCACUGGGAUUACUUUUGCCCUGAACAGUCCUUCGCAAAUGAAAAAUAAAGCAAAGAAAUGUUCUUAUUUUUUAUCUCU
Gallus gallus (chicken) is the source of this 12664-nucleotide long non-coding RNA. RefSeq lists it as uncharacterized. The transcript is spliced from 3 exons. The record is from RefSeq and is a predicted model, not a curated record. Lineage: Eukaryota; Metazoa; Chordata; Aves; Galliformes; Phasianidae.